Molecule: ribosomal RNA, 436 nt
Filed under: uncultured Clostridium sp.
Lineage: Bacteria; Bacillati; Bacillota; Clostridia; Eubacteriales; Clostridiaceae
Description: bacterial SSU rRNA
Rfam family: Bacterial small subunit ribosomal RNA
Source: RNAcentral
AACGCGAAGAACCUUACCUAAGCUUGACAUCCUUUUGACCGAUGCCUAAUCGCAUCUUUCCCUUCGGGGACAGAAGUGACAGGUGGUGCAUGGUUGUCGUCAGCUCGUGUCGUGAGAUGUUGGGUUAAGUCCCGCAACGAGCGCAACCCUUGCCUUUAGUUGCCAGCAUUAAGUUGGGCACUCUAGAGGGACUGCCAGGGAUAACCUGGAGGAAGGUGGGGAUGACGUCAAAUCAUCAUGCCCCUUAUGCUUAGGGCUACACACGUGCUACAAUGGGUGGUACAGAGGGCAGCCAAGUCGUGAGGCCGAGCUAAUCCCUUAAAGCCAUUCUCAGUUCGGAUUGUAGGCUGAAACUCGCCUACAUGAAGCUGGAGUUACUAGUAAUCGCAGAUCAGAAUGCUGCGGUGAAUGCGUUCCCGGGUCUUGNACACACCGA